This is a non-coding RNA of Octopus bimaculoides (California two-spot octopus), 107 nucleotides long. The record is from Rfam. Lineage: Eukaryota; Metazoa; Mollusca; Cephalopoda; Octopoda; Octopodidae.
UUUCUUGGUUCGGCAGUAAAAAACACUAAAAUUGUAAGGAUUCAAAGAAGGUUAGCAUGGCCACUUCCUAAAAUGAUACACAAAUUCGUAAAGCAUAAUUUACUUUU